RNAcentral lists this ribosomal RNA (869 nucleotides) under uncultured archaeon. RNAcentral describes it as "bacterial SSU rRNA". It matches the Rfam family "Archaeal small subunit ribosomal RNA", at positions 1 to 878 of the family's 1478-position model. The record is from RNAcentral.
CUCCCGGUUGAUCCUGCCGGACCCGACUGCUAUCAGAGUGGGACUAAGCCAUGCGAGUCAACAUAGCAAUAUGUGGCAUACGGCUCAGUAACACGUAGUCAACAUGCCCAGGGGACGUGGAUAACCUCGGGAAACUGAGGAUAAACCGCGAUAAGUCACUACUUCUGGAAUGGGUAAUGACUCAAAUCUACAUGGCCCCUGGAUUGGACUGCGGCCGAUCAGGCUGUUGGUGAGGUAAUGGCCCACCAAACCUGUAACCGGUACGGGCUCUGAGAGGAGGAGCCCGGAGAUGGGCACUGAGACAAGGGCCCAGGCCCUAUGGGGCGCAGCAGGCGCGAAACCUCUGCAAUAGGCGAAAGCCUGACAGGGUUACUCUGAGUGAUUUCCGCUAAGGGGAUCUUUUGGCACCUCUAAAAAUGGUGCAGAAUAAGGGGUGGGCAAGUCUGGUGUCAGCCGCCGCGGUAAUACCAGCACCCCGAGUGGUCGGGACGAUUAUUGGGCCUAAAGCAUCCGUAGCCGGUUCUGCAAGUCUUCCGUUAAAUCCAGCCGCUCAACGGAUGGGCCGCGGAGGAUACUACAGGACUAGGAGGCGGGAGAGGCAAGCGGUACUCAGUGGGUAGGGGUAAAAUCCUUUGAUCCAUUGAAGACCACCAGUGGCGAAGGCGGCUUGCCAGAACGCGCUCGACGGUGAGGGAUGAAAGCUGGGGGAGCAAACCGGAUUAGAUACCCGGGUAGUCCCAGCUGUAAACGAUGCAGACUCGGUGAUGGGCUAGCCUUGUGCCAGCCCAGUGCCGCAGGGAAGCCGUUAAGUCUGCCGCCUGGGGAGUACGGUCGCAAGACUGAAACUUAAAGGAAUUGGCGGGGGAGCA